AGCGAACGCUGGCGGCAUGCUUAACACAUGCAAGUCGCACGGGCGGGGGCAACUCCGUCAGUGGCGGACGGGUGAGUAACGCGUAGGAAUCUAUCCUUGAAUGGGGGACAACCGUGGGAAACUACGGCUAGUACCGCAUGAUGCCUGAGGGCCAAAGACGAAAGUCGUUUGAGGAGGAGCCUGCGUCUGAUUAGGUAGUUGGUGGGGUAAAGGCCUACCAAGCCUACGAUCAGUAGCUGGUCUGAGAGGAUGAUCAGCCACAUUGGGACUGAGACACGGCCCAAACUCCUACGGGAGGCAGCAGUGGGGAAUAUUGGACAAUGGGCGCAAGCCUGAUCCAGCAAUGCCGCGUGGGUGAAGAAGGUCUUCGGAUUGUAAAGCCCUUUUGGCGGGGACGAUGAUGACGGUACCCGCAGAAUAAGCUCCGGCUAACUUCGUG
Molecule: ribosomal RNA, 439 nt
Filed under: uncultured bacterium
Lineage: Bacteria
Description: bacterial SSU rRNA
Rfam family: Bacterial small subunit ribosomal RNA
Source: RNAcentral